This 489-nucleotide ribosomal RNA is filed under the name uncultured bacterium. RNAcentral describes it as "partial 16S ribosomal RNA". It matches the Rfam family "Bacterial small subunit ribosomal RNA", at positions 28 to 507 of the family's 1533-position model. The record is from RNAcentral.
GAUGAACGCUAGCGGCAGGCUUAAUACAUGCAAGUCGUGGGGCAGCAGGACUGUAGCAAUACAGUUGCUGGCGACCGGCACACGGGUGCGGAACACGUACGCAACUUACCCUGAACUGGGGGAUAGACCGGGGAAACCCGGAUUAAUACCCCGUCAUAUAAUGGAAUGGCAUCACUUUAUUAUUAAAGCUCCGGCGGUUCGGGAUGGGCGUGCGGCUGAUUAGGUAGUUGGUUGAGGUAACGGCGCACCAAGCCUACGAUCAGUAACUGGUGUGAGAGCACGACCAGUCACACGGGCACUGAGACACGGGCCCGACUCCUACGGGAGGCAGCAGUAAGGAAUAUUGGGCAAUGGAGGCGACUCUGACCCAGCCAUGCCGCGUGGAGGAUGAAGGCCCUCUGGGUUGUAAACUUCUUUUAUAGGCGACGAAACCUGUGUAUUCUUACGCAGUUGACGGUACCCUAGGAAUAAGCACCGGCUAACUCCGUG